UGCGUAGGUGGUUUGUUAAGUCUGUUGUGAAAGCCCCGGGCUCAACCUGGGAAUGGCAAUGGAUACUGGCAAGCUAGAGUGCGGUAGAGGGUAGUGGAAUUCCCGGUGUAGCGGUGAAAUGCGUAGAGAUCGGGAGGAACACCAGUGGCGAAGGCGGCUACCUGGGACCAGCACUGACACUGAGGCACGAAAGCGUGGGGAGCAAACAGGAUUAGAUACCCUGGUAGUCCACGCCCUAAACGAUGCGAACUGGACGUUGGGAGCAACUUGGCUCUCAGUGUCGAAGCUAACGCGUUAAGUUCGCCGCCUGGGGAGUACGGUCGCAAGACUGAAACUCAAAGGAAUUGACGGGGGCCCGCA
Molecule: ribosomal RNA, 360 nt
Filed under: uncultured bacterium
Lineage: Bacteria
Description: bacterial SSU rRNA
Rfam family: Bacterial small subunit ribosomal RNA
Source: RNAcentral